GGUAUUUAAGCAUUCUCCACUGUG
RNAcentral lists this non-coding RNA (24 nucleotides) under Arabidopsis thaliana (thale cress). The record is from RNAcentral. Lineage: Eukaryota; Viridiplantae; Streptophyta; Magnoliopsida; Brassicales; Brassicaceae.